UGAAUGGCUUGACGAGAAAUCAACUGUCUCUUAAUAAUUUUUAAAAUUUAACUUUUGAGUCAAAAGGCUUAAAUUUUUCUUUAGGACGAGAAGACCCUAUAGAACUUAACAUUUUAUUUUUAUAUAGUUUUUAGUUGAUCUUUCUAUAUUUAAUGAUAAUGUUUUGUUGGGGUGACAUGAAGAAUAAUUAAACUCUUCAUUAUAAAAUCAUUGAUUUAUGUUUAUCAUGAUCCAUAAUUUAUGAUCAUAAGAUUAAGUUACCUUAGGGAUAACAGCGUAAUUGUUUUCGAGAGCUCAUAUCGACAAAGCAGAUUGCGACCUC
RNAcentral lists this ribosomal RNA (322 nucleotides) under Calliptamus barbarus. RNAcentral's name for it is "partial 16S ribosomal RNA". It matches the Rfam family "Bacterial large subunit ribosomal RNA", at positions 1993 to 2527 of the family's 2925-position model. The record is from RNAcentral. Lineage: Eukaryota; Metazoa; Arthropoda; Insecta; Orthoptera; Acrididae.